ACGGGUGAGUAACGCGUGAGAAUCUACCCUUUAGUGAAGAAUACCCUCGAGAAAUCGAGGUUAAUACUGCAUAAGUCCCUUCGGGGAGAAAGAUGGCCUCUUUGCUGUCGCUAAUGGAUGAGCUUGCGUACUAUUAGCUAGUUGGUAGGGUAAAGGCCUACCAAGGCGAUGAUGGUUAACCGGCCUGAGAGGGUGUACGGUCACACUGGAACUUAGAUACGGUCCAGACUCCUACGGGAGGCAGCAGUGAGGAAUAUUGCGCAAUGGGCGAAAGCCUGACGCAGCGACGCCGCGUGGAGGAUGAAGGUCUUCGGAUUGUAAACUUCUGUUAAGUGGGAAAAAAUACAUAGCUCUAAUAAAGCUGUGGGAUGAUGGUACCAUUAGAGAAAGCACCGGCUAACUUCGUGCCAGCAGCCGCGGUAAUACGAAGGGUGCGAGCGUUAUUCGGAUUGAUUGGGCGUAAAGGGUGCGCAGGCGGUAUGCUAAGUCAACUGUUAAAUAUCCCAGCCUAACUGGGAACCAGCAGUAGAUACUGGCGUGCUUGAGGAUGGAAGAGAGAAGUGGAAUUCUCGGAGUAGCGGUAAAAUG
RNAcentral lists this ribosomal RNA (588 nucleotides) under uncultured bacterium. Its description in RNAcentral is "bacterial SSU rRNA". It matches the Rfam family "Bacterial small subunit ribosomal RNA", at positions 102 to 688 of the family's 1533-position model. The record is from RNAcentral.